Molecule: transfer RNA, 62 nt
Filed under: Truljalia hibinonis
Lineage: Eukaryota; Metazoa; Arthropoda; Insecta; Orthoptera; Gryllidae
Description: tRNA-Phe
Source: RNAcentral
AUCUAAAUAGCUUAAGUAGAGUAUAACUUUGAAGCUGUUAUGGAGAUGUAAAUCUUUAGAUA